This 253-nucleotide ribosomal RNA is filed under the name uncultured bacterium. RNAcentral describes it as "partial 16S ribosomal RNA". It matches the Rfam family "Bacterial small subunit ribosomal RNA", at positions 524 to 776 of the family's 1533-position model. The record is from RNAcentral.
UACAGGGGGGGCAAGCGUUGUUCGGAAUUACUGGGCGUAAAGGGUGCGUAGGCGGCGCGGUAAGUCGGGUGUGAAAUCUCGGGGCUUAACUCCGAAACUGCAUUCGAUACUGCCGUGCUUGAGGACUGGAGAGGAGACUGGAAUUUACGGUGUAGCGGUGAAAUGCGUAGAUAUCGUAAGGAAGACCAGUGGCGAAGGCGGGUCUCUGGACAGUUCCUGACGCUGAGGCACGAAGGCCAGGGGAGCAAACGGG